This 1036-nucleotide ribosomal RNA is filed under the name metagenome. RNAcentral describes it as "bacterial SSU rRNA". It matches the Rfam family "Bacterial small subunit ribosomal RNA", at positions 15 to 892 of the family's 1533-position model. The record is from RNAcentral.
GAUCCUGGCUCAGAAUGAACGCUUGUAACAUGCUUUACACAUGCAAGUCGAAUGGUAAAAAUUUCAUUUUACCAUGGCGAACGGGUGAGUAAUACUUGGGAAUUUACCUUAUAGUUGGGGAUAACUAAGAAUAUUCUUAGGAAUACCGAAUACUUUAAAGGAAUAUAUCAUAUAUUUCGCUAUAAGAUAAGCCUUAGUAAGAUUAGGUAGUUGGUAGGGUAAGAGCCUACCAAGCCAAAGAUCUUUAGCUGAUCUGAGAGGAUGAUCGGCCACACUGGGACUGAGACACGGCCCAGACUCCCUUGGGAGGCAGCAGUGAGGAAUAUUGGACAAUGGGCGAAAGCCUGAUCCAGCAAUGUUACGUGGGUGACGAAAGCCAUUUUGGUUGUAAAACCCUUUCAGUGGAGAUGAUAAUGACAGUAUCCACAGAAGAAGUCCCGGCUAACUCCGUGCCAGCAGCCGCGGUAAUACGGGGGGGGCGAGCGUUAUUCGGAAUGACUGGGCGUAAAGAGUUCGUAGGCGAGCUUUAUUAAGUAUGGUUUUCAAAAUUUAGAGCAUAACUCUAAAUGUGAACCGAAACUGAAAAGCUUGAGUUUGGUAGAGGAUAGUGGAAUUCCUAGUGGAAGGAUAAAAUCUCUAGAGAUUAGGAGGAACAUCAGAGGCGAAGGCGACUAUCUGGACCAAAACUGACGCUAAAGAACGAAAGUAUGGGUAUCGAAUGGGAUUAGAGACCCCAGUAGUCCAUACCGUAAACGAUGAGUGUUAAACGUUUGGAGAUCCAUCUCUUUAUUUGCACUUAGUGUAAAUAUAUCAUAUUAAUAUAGAUGUUUUAAGUUUUUGAACGUUCAAUGAUAGAUUANUUGUUUUGGUUAACUUUAAUCUGUUAGUUCCUUAUACUUUUAACAUAAUAUAUACAAAUCAACAAUAUUAGAUUGUUAAAAUCAACUAUUUAAAUUUUAUUGCCGUUGGCAAUUCUGGAUAUCUGAGUGUUACAGCUAACGCNUUAAACACUCCGCCUGNGGAGUACAGUCGCAAG